GACGAACGCUGGCGGCGUGCUUAACACAUGCAAGUCGAGCGGUAAGGCCCUUUCGGGGGUACACGAGCGGCGAACGGGUGAGUAACACGUGGGUGACCUGCCCUCAGCUCUGGGAUAAGCCUGGGAAACCGGGUCUAAUACCGGAUAUGACUCCAUGACGCAUGUUGUGGGGUGGAAAGCCUUGUGCGGCUGAGGAUGGGCCCGCGGCCUAUCAGCUUGUUGGUGGGGUNAUGGCCUACCAAGGCGACGACGGGUAGCCGGCCUGAGAGGGCGACCGGCCACACUGGGACUGAGACACGGCCCAGACUCCUACGGGAGGCAGCAGGUGGGGAAUCUUGCGCAAUGGGCGAAAGCCUGACGCAGCGACGCCGCGUGAGGGAUGACGGCCUGG
Molecule: ribosomal RNA, 391 nt
Filed under: uncultured bacterium
Lineage: Bacteria
Description: bacterial SSU rRNA
Rfam family: Bacterial small subunit ribosomal RNA
Source: RNAcentral